This 253-nucleotide ribosomal RNA is filed under the name uncultured bacterium. RNAcentral's name for it is "partial 16S ribosomal RNA". It matches the Rfam family "Bacterial small subunit ribosomal RNA", at positions 524 to 776 of the family's 1533-position model. The record is from RNAcentral.
UACGUAGGGGGCUAGCGUUGUCCGGAAUCAUUGGGCGUAAAGCGCGUGUAGGCGGUCCGGUAAGUCCGCUGUGAAAGUCGGGGGCUCAACCCUCGAAUGCCGGUGGAUACUGUCGGGCUAGAGUGCGGAAGAGGCGAGUGGAAUUCCUGGUGUAGCGGUGAAAUGCGCAGAUAUCAGGAGGAACACCGAUGGCGAAGGCAGCUCGCUGGGACGGUACUGACGCUGAGGAGCGAAAGCGUGGGGAGCGAACAGG